RNAcentral lists this ribosomal RNA (792 nucleotides) under Haptophyta environmental samples. Its description in RNAcentral is "eukaryotic LSU rRNA". It matches the Rfam family "Eukaryotic large subunit ribosomal RNA", at positions 134 to 1004 of the family's 3401-position model. The record is from RNAcentral. Lineage: Eukaryota; Haptophyta.
CGCCCCGAAUUGUAGUCUAGAAAGGCGCCAUCGGCCGCGCCCGCCGCUCAAAUCCCUUGGAAUAGGGUAUCGGAGAAGGUGAGAAUCCUGUACCGUGGCGGUCCGCGGCCGCACGAUGCGCCCUUGCAGAGUCGGGUUGCUUGGGAUUGCAGCUUGAAUUUGGAGAUAAAUUCCUUCUAAAGCUAAAUACUGCAGCGAGACCGAUAGCGAACAAGUACCGUGAGGGAAAGAUGCAAAGAACUUUGAAAAGAGAGUUAAAGAGUGCUUGAAACCGACAAGGGGAAACCCGGUUGUGCCCGGCUUCGCGCCCGUCGACUCAGCUGCCUUUUCGGGCGGUGCACUUCGGCGGCGUGGGUCACCCGCAUCUCUGCGCGUGGGAUGGUUGCUCGGUAGGCCUCUUUGGGAUCCGGGUCGUGACCACUCGCGGGGCUUCGGUUGACGUAACGGGCACCACCGACCCGUCUAGAAACACGGUCCAAGGAGUCUGACAUGGACGCGAGUACUCGGGUGGUAAGCCUGUGUGCGCAAUGAAAGUGAAGGGCGUGCCCCGCCAACCGACCUUGAUUUUUUAAUGAAGGGUUUGAGUGGAGCGUUCCUGUCGGGACCCGAAAGAUGGUGAACUAUGCCCGGAAAGCUUGAAGUCUGCUGAAAGGCAGAUGGAGGAGCGUAGCGAUACUGACGUGCAAAUCGUUCGUCUGAUCUGGGUAUAGGGGCGAAAGACUAAUCGAACCAUCUAGUAGCUGGUUCCCUCCGAAGUUUCCCUCAGGAUAGCUUGAACGCCGACGGUUUUGU